CCUACGGGCGGCAGCAGUGAGGAAUAUUGGUCAAUGGACGAGAGUCUGAACCAGCCAAGUAGCGUGAAGGAUGACUGCCCUAUGGGUUGUAAACUUCUUUUAUAUGGGAAUAAAACGUUCCACGUGUGGGAUUUUGUAUGUACCAUAUGAAUAAGGAUCGGCUAACUCCGUGCCAGCAGCCGCGGUAAUACGGAGGAUCCGAGCGUUAUCCGGAUUUAUUGGGUUUAAAGGGAGCGUAGGUGGAUUGUUAAGUCAGUUGUGAAAGUUUGCGGCUCAACCGUAAAAUUGCAGUUGAAACUGGCAGUCUUGAGUACAGUAGAGGUAGGCGGAAUGCGUGGUGUAGCGGUGAAAUGCUUAGAUAUCACGAAGAACUCCGAUUGCGAAGGCAGUUCACUGGACUGCAACUGACACUGAGGCUCGAAAGUGUGGGUAUCAAACAGGAUUAGAUACCCCAGUAGUC
Molecule: ribosomal RNA, 460 nt
Filed under: uncultured bacterium
Lineage: Bacteria
Description: partial 16S ribosomal RNA
Rfam family: Bacterial small subunit ribosomal RNA
Source: RNAcentral